RNAcentral lists this long non-coding RNA (2837 nucleotides) under Linum usitatissimum (flax). RNAcentral's name for it is "long non-coding RNA (LUSI_LNC003496)". Lineage: Eukaryota; Viridiplantae; Streptophyta; Magnoliopsida; Malpighiales; Linaceae. The record is from RNAcentral.
GAGGAAAUAAACAGAUCAUCAAAGGCUUGAAAUCAACAAUUAAACAUCACUAAAAAGAUCCCAAAUAGGGGAAACAACCACUGUAAAUAUGUUUGUCAAAUAACUGAAAAACAUGAAAGACUAUCUGAAAACUGUGAAAACAAUGAAAGAGUUAGCUGAGGUCCUCCAUGGUACCACUCCAUUCGAAUCCCAGAGUCACUCCAAGGUGGUGUUGCUGCUCGUGCUCCCUUCUUAGGCGGCAUUGGCUUCUGAAGUCCCAAAGUUGGUCAUGCAUGAAGAAAGGUAGUGGGUGUCAGCGAUAAACACUGAGUAACUAAGCAUGAACGUGAAUAACUGAACUAAUAUCUAGUAAUGUGACAAUGUGGUCCUGUAGGCAUCAUCCUAACAUUAGCCAUCCCAGCUAUGAGCGGAUAGCCUCAUGCUGGAUCAGACCAUGAAACUACCAUGUAAUACCGUGAGAGAAGCUCAAGGCUUGCUCGUCACGUCUAUCUGAAGUCCGACUGUAACCUGGAGGAUCGCGCAAUCUAUGGGGUGGGUGACCGACGUAUAACAGGAGCUAAUCUAUCUUGUCCUGAUUCUUAUCCUAAUCAUGAACCAUGAAUCACACGCACUAUUCCUCGCUGUGAGCUUAUGCUCGAAAUUAACUAAUGUCUGUGCAGUGGAUCACACGCUACUGCAUAGCCUAAAAUACUCAACUGCAUAACACAACUACAUGUAUAGUAGAUCACACGCUACUGUAAAUCCCAACAAUGAUUCAUGAUAACUAAUUACAAUUCUUCGCAUAAAGCAGAAAAGUAAUCCUAACCCCUACCUUUGAAAUAUUUCCUCUGAAGAGUCUGAUUUGAAGUCAUCUCCCUAGAUUUUGAUUGCAUGAUCUGUAUGACCUGAAGAGAUCAAUCGUAGGAAAUCCCAAAACCCCAAAUCCAAACCUGUCAGGAUUAUCCUACGUGGGAUUCAAAACAAAGGAUUGAGAAAGGAGGAAGAAGGUAGAGUACCUUCUGAAGCUCCCUCGACGAUCUCUAAGCCUAUCCUACUGAUCUGGGAUCGAUCAACAAGUUCCUCUCCUCUGUCUGGAACCAAUUGCCGCUCGUCAGUGAUUGCAAAAAGAUAAGGUUUUGGUAAUUCUGAACUUUUGGAAUCGCGACUCUAUUUUUAUAAGCUGUCCACCACGCCCUUGGCCUACUGACCACCACGCCCGUGAUGACAAGCAACCACGCUUGUGUCCUAAUGAUGAUCACGACCGUGAUGCUCCUUCCAGCCACGAACGUGACAAUCACCAACCACGACCGUGAUCUAUCUGAUGAUCACGCCCGUGACAGACUGCCAGUCACACCCGUGAUGGUCUAUCUGAAAGCGAUUGACAGAGACUCAUAGAAACUGGAAUUAAACCCCGAGUCAGACAUUAACCCAAAAUCGAGGUGUUACAGUUAGCAUCAUCAUAAAAAGGCAAGUAGAAUCUAUAGUAACUCUGGCCAGAAUCUGACGCGACCACACCACAAGAAAAGUGCGUAGAAGAAUUCAACAAAACCAAAGAAUUACCCAUGACAAGAGGUUGGUCCACCAACGGAGGGAUCCUAAUUUGAGGAAGGAAGAGGCAGUGGAGACAUUUGUACUGCAUGCGGAUCACCUUAGCCAGGUGGAGAAGAAGAAGUAGGGACCACCCAGAGGAACAUCGGGUGAAAAAUAUACGACAACGGUUUUGCCCGUUUCUUUUUUGCCUGCAGAGCUGGCUCCCCAGCCAAAACUAGAUCACGAACGAGAUAGCCUUCUAGCUUGACAAUCAUCCAUUGUCCCCUAGCGUCUGGCAUCUGUGCAAACCAGGUCUCAUAACCGCAUUGACAGUUCAUAUACCCUAGCCAACCACACAUAAAACGAACGGUGGCAAGUUUUCAUAACGACGAUCGACCCAAAAGGGUCACUCUCCCGCAAUCUUCGCUUCAAUUAUACCAUGAAAUCUUGAGAGCAGAUCCACCCUAACCACAGACUUCAUGAAUCUCGACCCUUGUGCCCUUGGUCGCGCUGAAAAAACUACAAUUUGAUGGACUAACCCAAGGGGGCGCAUAAUGUUCGCCCCGAAAUCCGCCGAACAGCAGUGAGGCGAAACCAUCAAUUGAAUGGACUAACUCCAAGGUUACUCCCGUAGGACAGUAUCCUGAACAGCUACCAUAGGGAAGAGAAACUGGGAUUCAACUUCCAUUGCCUCACCAUCUCCUGAUGAACUGCAUGAGUGGCCUUAAAAAGUGGCCAAGCGAUGCAGCCAACUAAGCUUAGUUUGCAUCCAUCUCUACUCGAUUGAACAUUAGCCUCUGUGAAGUCCACAUACAAGUUUGGUGGUAACGCCUCCAUUGAAAAGGCACCAUGAAUAGAUUGCACCAAAUAAUUGCUGAGAAAGGGCAAGCAAGAUGAAUUGGUGAAGAGGAAAAACGAAACAGACGAGGAUACAAAACCCAAGAGUAGAUCUGUACCUAAUAUAGGCAUCAAAGCGCACCAUGGAAGUGUAGUUGAGUGGAUAAGCCCCAAGAUAACUGUCGAGAUAACUCCCCAUAAAACUACCUGAAAUCAAUUGCCGAUUUCAAACUCCCUAGAAAUCUGGGUGAAGGCGAGCGACAAAUGCGUAGGAAACCCGAUAGAUCGAGCACCAAACAACCAUGAAAAGAAAAAUGGAGAUGGUGCAAACUGAAAUUCUACCAAUAAACCCUGAGAUUGAAGGAAGAGGCAAAGCAAAAUCGAAGAAGAAGGCGGAAGACGGAAGACGGGCAGGGGAGGCAGAGAAAGAAAGGCGGGGUGGCGGCGGAGGGAAGAGGGGAGCACGAGGGGGAGAGAGAAGCCUCGAGAAC